RNAcentral lists this ribosomal RNA (301 nucleotides) under uncultured bacterium. RNAcentral describes it as "partial 16S ribosomal RNA". It matches the Rfam family "Bacterial small subunit ribosomal RNA", at positions 509 to 807 of the family's 1533-position model. The record is from RNAcentral.
CAGCAGCCACGGUAAAACGUAGGUGGCAAGCGUUGUCCGGAAUUAUUGGGCGUAAAGGGCUCGCAGGCGGUUUCUUAAGUCUGAUGUGAAAGCCCCCGGCUCAACCGGGGAGGGUCAUUGGAAACUGGGAAACUUGAGUGCAGAAGAGGAGAGUGGAAUUCCACGUGUAGCGGUGAAAUGCGUAGAGAUGUGGAGGAACACCAGUGGCGAAGGCGACUCUCUGGUCUGUAACUGACGCUGAGGAGCGAAAGCGUGGGGAGCGAACAGGAUUAGAUACCCCAGUAGUCCCUGUCUCUUAUAC